This 402-nucleotide ribosomal RNA is filed under the name bacterium enrichment culture clone ALO1_GLFRUDD03G3B9P. RNAcentral's name for it is "bacterial SSU rRNA". It matches the Rfam family "Bacterial small subunit ribosomal RNA", at positions 9 to 410 of the family's 1533-position model. The record is from RNAcentral.
GAGUUUGAUCUUGGCUCAGAUUGAACGCUGGCGGCAUGCCUUACACAUGCAAGUCGAACGGCAGCACGGGAGCUUGCUCCUGGUGGGCGAGUGGCGAACGGGUGAGUAAUGCAUCGGAACGUAUCCUGGAGUGGGGGAUAACGUAGCGAAAGUUACGCUAAUACCGCAUAUUCUGUGAGCAGGAAAGCGGGGGACCUUCGGGCCUCGCGCUCUUGGAGCGGCCGAUGUCGGAUUAGCUAGUUGGUGAGGUAAAGGCUCACCAAGGCGACGAUCCGUAGCAGGUCUGAGAGGAUGAUCUGCCACACUGGAACUGAGACACGGUCCAGACUCCUACGGGAGGCAGCAGUGGGGAAUUUUGGACAAGUGGGGCAACCCUGAUCCAGCCAUGCCGCGUGAGUGAAG